RNAcentral lists this ribosomal RNA (403 nucleotides) under uncultured rape rhizosphere bacterium wr0018. RNAcentral's name for it is "bacterial SSU rRNA". It matches the Rfam family "Bacterial small subunit ribosomal RNA", at positions 27 to 456 of the family's 1533-position model. The record is from RNAcentral.
GAGCGAACGCUGGCGGCAGGCUUAACACAUGCAAGUCGAGCGGGCGUAGCAAUACGUCAGCGGCAGACGGGUGAGUAACGCGUGGGAACGUACCUUUUGGUUCGGAACAACACAGGGAAACUUGUGCUAAUACCGGAUAAGCCCUUACGGGGAAAGAUUUAUCGCCGAAAGAUCGGCCCGCGUCUGAUUAGCUAGUUGGUGAGGUAACGGCUCACCAAGGCGACGAUCAGUAGCUGGUCUGAGAGGAUGAUCAGCCACAUUGGGACUGAGACACGGCCCAAACUCCUACGGGAGGCAGCAGUGGGGAAUAUUGGACAAUGGGCGCAAGCCUGAUNCAGCCAUGCCGCGUGAGUGAUGAAGGCCCUAGGGUUGUAAAGCUCUUUUGUGCGGGAAGAUAAUGACG